GCCCGGGUGGCGGAACUGGUAUACGCGUUGGACUUAAAAUCCAAUGUCCUUUAGGACUUGGGAGUUCGAGUCUCCCCUCGGGCA
This 84-nucleotide transfer RNA is filed under the name Candidatus Bathyarchaeota archaeon. RNAcentral describes it as "tRNA-Leu". It matches the Rfam family "tRNA". Rfam says of the family: Transfer RNA (tRNA) molecules are approximately 80 nucleotides in length. Lineage: Archaea; Thermoproteati; Candidatus Bathyarchaeota. The record is from RNAcentral.